UAGGGAAUCUUGCGCAAUGGGCGAAAGCCUGACGCAGCAACGCCGCGUGAGGGAAGACGGCCUUCGGGUUGUAAACCUCUUUCAGUAGGGACGAAGGUUCCGGGGGGAAUAUCCCCGUGGAUUGACGGUACCUAAAGAAGAAGCCCCGGCUAACUACGUGCCAGCAGCCGCGGUAAUACGUAGGGGGCAAGCGUUGUCCGGAAUCAUUGGGCGUAAAGCGCGUGUAGGCGGCCUGAAUAGUCUGGUGUGAAAUCUUGCGGCUUAACCGUAAGCGGUCACUGGAUACUGUCAGGCUUGAGUCCGGAAGAGGAGUGUGGAAUUCCUGGUGUAGCGGUGGAAUGCGCAGAUAUCAGGAGGAACACCUAUGGCGAAGGCAGCACUCUGGUACGUGACUGACGCU
RNAcentral lists this ribosomal RNA (400 nucleotides) under uncultured bacterium. Its description in RNAcentral is "bacterial SSU rRNA". It matches the Rfam family "Bacterial small subunit ribosomal RNA", at positions 355 to 747 of the family's 1533-position model. The record is from RNAcentral.